UAGGGAAUCUUCCACAAUGGACGCAAGUCUGAUGGAGCAACGCCGCGUGAGUGAAGAAGGUUUUCGGAUCGUAAAGCUCUGUUGUUGGUGAAGAAGGAUAGAGGCAGUAACUGGUCUUUAUUUGACGGUAAUCAACCAGAAAGUCACGGCUAACUACGUGCCAGCAGCCGCGGUAAUACGUAGGUGGCAAGCGUUGUCCGGAUUUAUUGGGCGUAAAGCGAGCGCAGGCGGAAUGAUAAGUCUGAUGUGAAAGCCCACGGCUCAACCGUGGAACUGCAUCCGAAACUGUCAUUCUUGAGUGCAGAAGAGGAGAGUGGAAUUCCAUGUGUAGCGGUGGAAUGCGUAGAUAUAUGGAAGAACACCAGUGGCGAAGGCGGCUCUCUGGUCUGCAACUGACGCUGAGGCUCGAAAGCAUGGGUAGCGAACAGG
RNAcentral lists this ribosomal RNA (429 nucleotides) under bacterium. Its description in RNAcentral is "partial 16S ribosomal RNA". It matches the Rfam family "Bacterial small subunit ribosomal RNA", at positions 355 to 776 of the family's 1533-position model. The record is from RNAcentral.